Etheostoma spectabile (orangethroat darter) is the source of this 115-nucleotide long non-coding RNA. RefSeq lists it as uncharacterized. The transcript has 3 exons. The record is from RefSeq and is a predicted model, not a curated record. NCBI's taxonomy places the organism in Eukaryota, Metazoa, Chordata, Actinopteri, Perciformes, Percidae.
AAGCAGUGUUGCGGACAUUACAUUUUUUCACUUUAGUAUUUUUCAUUUGCCCUGCACCUGCCUGAAGGUGGGAUGUGCACACAAUUUAUUUUAUAAUUGUAAUCUGGGCAUUUAA